Long non-coding RNA from Camarhynchus parvulus, 1915 nucleotides. The record is from Ensembl. Lineage: Eukaryota; Metazoa; Chordata; Aves; Passeriformes; Thraupidae.
GACGUAAUGAAUUACCAUGAGAGGGCGUGGCUUCACAAUGCCGUGAUGACACGCCCAAAGUGGGCGUGGUCUCAGAGCGGAAAGAGGGCGUACCUCAAACCCCAAAGUGGGCGUGGCUCCCACCUGCCAAACCCCCGCCCCUUCCAGGUGUGGGCGUGGCCUGGCGCCAGGUACGGGGUGGGCGUGGCGGGUCGCGGUCACGUGACGCGGGGCGGGGCCUCGGGAGCGGCCCCGGAAGCGGGGAAGGGACGGGACAGGUUCAUAUUUGGGGUCCCCCCAUGGCCGCUGCCCCCGCCCUGGCCCUGGCCCUGCCCUGCCUCGCCCUGGCCCAGACCCGCGGGGGUGGUCGCUCUCUCGGUGAUUUUCGGGGGUCUGGGGGCGCUGGCGCUGCUGGGGCUGCUGCUGCUGGCGGCGCUGCGCCUGCGCGAGAAGCGCCGCACCGAGGGCUCCUACCGGCCCAGCCGCGAGGAGAUGGGGGGGGGCGCCAGGGCAGCCCCCCCGGGCCCCGCCCCGCUGCGCCUGCCCCCCGAGGAGCGCCUCAUCUGAGACCCCGCCCCGAAUUCUGACCCCGCCCCGAAUUCGGGGCUGCUUUGGACCAUGGGAGUCGUUUUGGGGGGUUUUGGGGAGGGUCCCAAAGGGGUGAGACCCCCCCUGUGUGACCCCCCCUGUGUGAUCCCCCCUGUGUGACCCUCCCCGGCCCCAUUUGAGACCCCCCCCCGAAUUUGGGGUUCGUUUGGGCCAUGGGGUAUUUUGGGGGAUUUCGGGAGGGUCCCAAGGGGUGAGACCCCCGUGGCCCCCCCCAGAAGCGCCUCAUCUGAGACCCCGCCCCGAAUUUGGGACCCCUCCCCGAAUUCGGGGUUCGUUUGGACCAUGGGAGUCGUUUUGGGGGGUUUUGGGGAGGGUCCCAAAGGGGUGAGACCCCCGUUGUGUGACCCCCCCUGUGUGAUCCCCCCAUCCCCCGAGGAGCGCCUCAUUUGAGACCCCUCCCCGAAUUUGGGGUUCGUUUGGGCCAUGGGAGUCGUUUUGGGGGGGUUUGGGGAGGGUCCCAAAGGGGUGAGACCCCCCUGUGUGACCCCCCCAUCCCCCCAGAAGCGCCUCAUCUGAGACCCCGCCCCGAAUUUGGGACCCUCCCCGAAUUCGGGGUUCCUUUGGGCCAUGGGAGUCAUUUUGGGGGGUUUUGGGGGGUCCCAAAGGGGUGAGACCCCCCCGUGUGACCCCCGUGUGACCCCUCCCCACGAGGAGCGCCUCAUCUGAGACCCCGCCCCGAAUUUGGGACCCCUCCCCGAAUUUGGGACCCCUCCCCGAAUUUGGGGUUCGUUUGGGCCAUGGGAGUCGUUUUGGGGGGGUUUUGGGGGUCCCAAAGGGGUGAGACCCCCCCCGGAUUGCUCUUUGGGGACCCCCCAUGAGGAGGGGAUGGUGUGGGACCCCUCCCCAAAUUCUGGAGUGGUUGUGACCCCCCCCACCCCAAAAUUUGGGGGUCAUUUGGAGCCCCCUCCCCAAAAUUUUGGGGUCACUUGGGGCCCCCAUUUGGACCAUGGGAAUAAUUUUGGGGGGGUCCAGGGGGGGUUUUAGGGAGUCCAGAAGGGUUGAGACCCCCCCCAGAUUUGAGGAGAAGCUCGUCUGGGACCCCUCCCCAAAUUUUGGAGUGGUUGUGACCCCCCCUCAAAAUUUUGGGGCUCAUUUGGGGCCCCCUCCCCAAAAUUUUGGGUCUCGUUUGGACCAUGGGAGUCAUUUUGGGGGGGGGUCCUGGGGGGUUUUGGAGGGGUCCAGGAGGUUUUAGCCCCCCCCCCAAUUUGAGGAGGGGCUCGUCAGGGACCCCUCCCCAAAUUUUGGAGCAGCUGUGACCCCCCACCCCAAAAUUUGGGGUCAUUUGGGACCACCCCCCAAAAAAAUCUGAGCUGGUUUGAGACCCCCC